RNAcentral lists this ribosomal RNA (962 nucleotides) under Crocidura beccarii (Beccari's shrew). Its description in RNAcentral is "partial 16S ribosomal RNA". It matches the Rfam family "Bacterial large subunit ribosomal RNA", at positions 961 to 2578 of the family's 2925-position model. Lineage: Eukaryota; Metazoa; Chordata; Mammalia; Eulipotyphla; Soricidae. The record is from RNAcentral.
AAAUUUCAAUGUAAACUUAAAUGUUAAUCUGCAGAGGUACAGCUCUGCAGAAUAAGAAUACAACCUUAAUUAGUGAGUAAACUUAUUUAAUAACCAUAGUUGGCCUAAAAGCAGCCACCAAUUAAGAAAGCGUUCAAGCUCAACAAUAAAAUUUAUAUUUAAUUCAAAAAAUAAUAUAAACUCCUAGUAUAACCACUGGAUUACUCUACUUAUUCGUAGAAGAAAUACUGUUAAAAUGAGUAACAAGAUUUAUAUCUCCAUACACACGUGUAUAUCAGACCGAAUCCCAACUGAUAGUUAACAAUUAAAUAAACCUAUACACUAAUAGACAGUUUAUCACUAUAUUGUUAAUCCAACACCGGAGUGUACAUAAGGAAAGAUUAAAAAAAGUAAAAGGAACUCGGCAAACAUAAACCCCGCCUGUUUACCAAAAACAUCACCUCUAGCAUUACCAGUAUUAGAGGCACUGCCUGCCCAGUGACAUUAGUUUAACGGCCGCGGUAUCCUGACCGUGCAAAGGUAGCAUAAUCAUUUGUUCCUUAAUUAGGGACUUGUAUGAAUGGCCCCACGAGGGUUUGACUGUCUCUUACUUUCAAUCAGUGAAAUUGACCUUCCCGUGAAGAGGCGGGAAUAUAAAAAUAAGACGAGAAGACCCUAUGGAGCUUAAAUUUAAGUAUUCAAUAAAAUUUUAACCUAAUCCAACAGGAAUAACAACAUUUAAACUGAACAAUAAAUUUUGGUUGGGGUGACCUCGGAGCAUAACAAAACCUCCGAGCAAUUCAACUUAGACUUACUAGUCAAAGUGACAUAAUUUAUUGAUCCAAUCAUAUUGAUCAACGAAACAAGUUACCCUAGGGAUAACAGCGCAAUCCUAUUUGAGAGUUCAUAUCGACAAUAGGGUUUACGACCUCGAUGUUGGAUCAGGACAUCCAAAUGGUGUAGCAGCUAUUAAGGGUUCGUUU